Molecule: small nucleolar RNA, 152 nt
Organism: Cynocephalus volans (Philippine flying lemur)
Lineage: Eukaryota; Metazoa; Chordata; Mammalia; Dermoptera; Cynocephalidae
Source: RefSeq, a predicted model, not a curated record
UAUCUGAAAUCUUAGUGGGGGGUCCCUCAGUCCUGGUUCCCCACUGUGAGGCCAGAUCAAUCACAUUGUGGGCCUUGCCUUCAUUUCUGCCACUGCCUACAGAAAAAAAAUAAGUGAGCUAAUGCUGGUAGAACACUUAAGGCUGGAGACAA